This 253-nucleotide ribosomal RNA is filed under the name uncultured bacterium. RNAcentral describes it as "partial 16S ribosomal RNA". It matches the Rfam family "Bacterial small subunit ribosomal RNA", at positions 524 to 776 of the family's 1533-position model. The record is from RNAcentral.
UACGUAGGUGGCAAGCGUUAUCCGGAAUUACUGGGUGUAAAGGGUGAGUAGGCGGGGAAGCAAGUCAGAUGUGAAAUGCAAAGGCUUAACCUUUGAAUUGCAUUUGAAACUGUUUCUCUUGAGGGUCGGAGAGGUAAUCGGAAUUCCUAGUGUAGCGGUGAAAUGCGUAGAUAUUAGGAGGAACACCAGUGGCGAAGGCGGAUUACUGGACGACUACUGACGCUGAAUCACGAAAGCGUGGGGAGCAAACAGG